This is a long non-coding RNA of Halichondria panicea, 1744 nucleotides long. RefSeq lists it as uncharacterized. Lineage: Eukaryota; Metazoa; Porifera; Demospongiae; Suberitida; Halichondriidae. The transcript is spliced from 5 exons. The record is from RefSeq and is a predicted model, not a curated record.
UUAUCGAUCUUUACCAGCUGAUCUACCAAACACCUUUAUUUCCGUUUUUAGUGGGUCUGUAUACAUGUGUCAGCCAGUGCAGUGAUCCUCAGAGCUUAGCUAGAGUCUAUGGAUACUGAGUCUAUGGAUACUGAACACAGUGAUCCUCAGAAUUAAAGUGUGUCUAUAACUGCAUGGAUUUUCCAGCUCUCAAUGCAGUGAAGUAUAGUAGCAGCACCAUGAAACGUUUGUCCGAAGUCCAAAAAGUUUGCGUACCUCUCCUGCUCUUACUGUACAUGCAGCUCGCCUCAUCCAACGGAAGUGCUGGGCGUUGAAGUAUGGAAAUGACGUUCACUGAGCAAAGGUCAGCAACAACUCAAGGAAAAAUUAAAAGAUGUCCUCUUCAAUGUACACACAAUCGAGCCGCCAUAUGCGUUCAAAGUUUCAUUUUCAAGGGUGAAUCUACACGUAUGCGAAACAAUCGUACCAAGUUUCUCUUUUGUAAGUCUCUUCUCUCUUGACGAAGUGGAACAAUGCCCAACAAUACGCUGGGAAAGGCAAAAGUCUAAAGAUCUAUUUAUUGACGUGAUGGAAAAUGUGUUCGCAAAACUUGGCGAGGUAACACUCGAACCUACCUAUAAAUCAAAAGUCGUGAGUGAUGCCUUUAUACCUGAAAUUGAUUCCCAAGACUCCACCCCCACCAAAUACCCGAAUCCAAUUUCGGUAGCCGCUUAGCGAUGAUCUCCCUGUUAGAAACCCUGAAACUGGCAUAAAGUGUGAAUCUAUUGGGAUCGGGGGGCGCACCGCAUGGUAUGGCACACCGGAUGCCAGGAUAAGAUCUAUUGAAGGCGAUACAGUCGUAUAACAGGAUGAUGAUAUGAUACUCGUCCAAUAAAAUCGUUGGGGUCAUGGAAUUGAGGGUUUUGUGAUUGUGGUGCUCCGUAAAUGAAUGAGUCAUCACAGUAGCCACUACUUGCCCCAUGUGCUUUCGUAAAAUAAAACGGAACUUCCCUUCUAUGAGAACAGAUUCACCGUCAGAUUCGAUUUCCUGCUCAGAACUAUCCCAAGCUACAACUGCAAAAUGUGCUCCUCAUUUCUGAGAAAAUUAAAUAUUAUGACGAAGAGAAAAAUGCACUCGUGGACGUGGGCGUGGCUGGCAAUUAACCACAGGAAGUAUCUGCAGGUGGCAGAUUUUAGGACACAAACUAGUGGGCUGCACAAUUUCGCUAGUACUCAGAUAAAUUCAAACAGUUGCAUUACACCAACUGUUAUUGGGGACAAAAGGAGGAAGGUUCCCCACAGAAGAAAGCUGGUGUGUGUGCGUCUUUGAUUACGACGAAGCCCCCCCCCCCCCCUCUCGAAACCCGACCAUGAUUGUAGAUGACUCUGAUUGUUUUUUGUCUUGUGACAUGCUUUUAUGAUUGUGACUCUCUCAUUCGUCUCGUGCGUUGCUGCAAUUAAUGGCACUUAUAAAAUGCAUAGUAGGCAAACAAAGACACCACAGUCAAAUGCAUUGCUUUGAUUUGGAAUACCCUAUUAAACUGAGGUGGAACAGGGUUGACUUGAAUAGAACCAGUACGUAGCAUCAGCCAGAUUGACCUCCUCUGGAUCUCACCUAAGUCUUAGGCUCUAUAAAGAUAGAAUUGUGUAUUAUUAUGCCUGUUGGCCAUUAUUAUUGUGAUAAUUAUUUAUGAAAUGUUUUAACCUUGUAUGGAAAAGUUACAAAAACAACGAAAAUUGUUGUUCAUCUUCUCAUGUUCUUUUA